Molecule: ribosomal RNA, 300 nt
Filed under: uncultured Aggregatibacter sp.
Lineage: Bacteria; Pseudomonadati; Pseudomonadota; Gammaproteobacteria; Pasteurellales; Pasteurellaceae
Description: partial 16S ribosomal RNA
Rfam family: Bacterial small subunit ribosomal RNA
Source: RNAcentral
GCAAGCUGUGGUCGGGGAGCGGGGAUAAGACAGUGGUCCGGGGCGUUGUGCGGGUUCACUGGUCUUAAAGGGUGCGUAGGCGGUCGGGUAAGUCUGAUGUGAAAUCGCACAUCUUAACUGUGAAACUGCAUUGGUUACUAUUCGGCUUGAGGGCUGGAGGGGGGACUGGAAUUCUCGGUGUAGCAGUGAAAUGCGUAGAUAUCGAGAGGAACACCAGUGGCGAAGGCGAGUCCCGGGACAGGUCCUGACGCUGAGGCACGAAAGCUAGGGGAGCAAACAGGAUUAGAUACCCCAGUAGUC